Molecule: long non-coding RNA, 360 nt
Filed under: Gallus gallus (chicken)
Lineage: Eukaryota; Metazoa; Chordata; Aves; Galliformes; Phasianidae
Source: RNAcentral
GUUUAAAUGGAGCUGGCACUUUUUUGGCAGCUAAAUCAUCCCAAUUUAUAUUCUGGAAAAAGGGAUGCUGUUUGAUUUCAUCAGCAUCAGUUGGACCACAACCUAGUCUCUUCUUGGGGUCUUUCAUCAAAAGGCGCUGAAUGAUAUCCUUUGACAGUGCACUCAUUUCUUGUGGGUAAGGUGGUUCGCUUUUUAAUAUUCUCCUAGAAAUCUCAGCUUGAGAAUUCUUCUCUCCAUCAACUGUAAAGGGUGAUGCUCCAGUUAGCAAUUCGUACAUAAGAACACCAACACUCCACCAAUCGACAGCCUUAUCAUGUCCUGUAUCUCCUCCUCUUACAAUAUCUGGAGCCAUGUACUCUA